AGCAAACGAUAGCUUACUGGGAACACCAAGCUGUGCACACUUGGGCCAAUGUUUGCUAUGUUUUCUAAAACUUGCUGAAAUAUUGCAACCAUAGUUUGACUGAGUGCCAGUCCUGGAGCUGGGGAGAGCAGCAGGACUUUCGAUUUCUCCCUUGGUCAGAUGGUGAGAAAAGCCUUGGGGAGUGAGGUGAUCAGACGACCUUGAGUUGGAGAUUGUCAUAUCGUAGCAAGUUGCACCAAGGACUCUGCACAGCAGGAGAGGAAACUCUAAACUCUGUUUCAAUCGACUGUCC
Molecule: long non-coding RNA, 292 nt
Organism: Thunnus maccoyii (southern bluefin tuna)
Lineage: Eukaryota; Metazoa; Chordata; Actinopteri; Scombriformes; Scombridae
Exons: 3
Source: RefSeq, a predicted model, not a curated record